Homo sapiens (human) is the source of this 1340-nucleotide long non-coding RNA. Ensembl annotates it as long intergenic non-protein coding RNA 2669. NCBI's taxonomy places the organism in Eukaryota, Metazoa, Chordata, Mammalia, Primates, Hominidae. The record is from Ensembl.
ACUGUUAUACUUGGAGGCCAUGUCACCUGAGAGUCAAUGGGCAACGAUCAAAUUUCACCUUGAGCAGAUUCUUUUGUUUGCUUUUUAGUCACAAAUAGCUUGGCCCUAAGUGGUGGCUCCCAUUCUUGUAAGAUGCGUUUAUUCAUCGUGUAAUCACCAGUUCCCUGUAGUGGGGGCGUGGAUGGAGUGUCAGAGGCUCCUGCUGGUCUUUAGGGUGUCUGGCCUCCAGGAAUCCUAGAGUAAAUUGGGAACUACAGCACUCGAUGUUAGAGUUGUCGUGAAGAUUAAAGAAGGUGACGACUGGACAACUCCCAGCCCAAUACCUGAAACUGUACCAGCACCCAGUGAGCACUGCUAUUCCUGUGACUGCUGCACAUUUGCCUUAUCUCAGCAGUAUGCCUGUGUCACUUUUUUGGCACUCUUUUCUCAUGGGUACAUUCAGAGAAGAGGAAUGUUUGUUCACUGGUGAAGAGAACAUCCCGUGUACUAUCGUGUAGAAGUUGUAGUAGACGCUGUGGUCUUUCCAACAACAAACAAACCUCGUGCCAGCAACUUAAAUCUAUCAGCAAUGGAGAAUGCCUGGCAUUGGCUUCUGCAUGAGUGCCGUUUUAGUUGCUUUGUAUUCUUCUACCUUGAUUUUUUUUUCUGUUUUUCUACAUGAGUGUUGCCUGCAGAGUUCCCUGAUUGACUCAAAGUACAUCUUCUAUAUUGCUUCAAGUAGUGCUGGUCAUGAACACAAUUCAGUCUUAGUCAGCUAUUGGAACUGAUUGACUGCAAAGUUCUGGUGCCUCUUCUCGCAGCCCAGGGCAGAUGGACGUGCUAUGUGGGGCCCGUACAAAACAGAAUCAUGGAGCUGGUGGGGCAAGGAGUCAACCUCCCUCCUAGGGCCUGCAGCCUCCACCAGGGCAGAGAGCAAGUUUCUCUCAGCUUCUGCUCUCAGGUGGUGACCUGGCAGGGAGGACAGCUUGGCAGUAGGUGCAGGCACUGGACGGGGACCUCCUGGCUCCUCUCCUAGCUCUUGCAGCACCAGCCAUAAGGCACUCAGAUCAUGCAACUUCCCGGUGUCUCCGUCUCUGCAUCUUUAAAAUGGGGCUAAUAAGAACACUUUUCUCAUAGACUUAUAAAGAGAAUUAAUUAAAAAAAAUAAUGCUUGGCUCAGAAUGUACACUCCAUGAACAUCACCUGUUACCACUUAAGAAGGGUGCGUACCCUCCAGCCGCAUCCAUGCCAGUUCCCGUUGUCUCACCCUGGGCCAGCGACACCCAUCUUAAGUCACAAUUGAGAAUACAAGCAAGACACGCUGAAAUCUACCAGAAUAAAGGUCCAUCUUCACAGAACAA